RNAcentral lists this long non-coding RNA (3695 nucleotides) under Chinchilla lanigera (long-tailed chinchilla). RNAcentral describes it as "lncRNA (ENSCLAG00000027910.1)". Lineage: Eukaryota; Metazoa; Chordata; Mammalia; Rodentia; Chinchillidae. The record is from RNAcentral.
GCGAUGCCUGUGGGGACUCCUGAGCUGGGCAGGAGUCAGGACCUUCUCAGAGGAGGGGACAGGGGAGCUGGGCAGGUGGGGUGGGAGGAGGCUGGGGGAGAGGAGGUGGCAUCUGGAGACCCCAAGUCAACCUCAGCCUCCACCUCUCCCGCCCAGGAUGUGGGGUCCCGCUAUCCGCGCCCUGCUGAGAGGCCUGGCCAGGGUCUUCGAUGGUGAGCGCACUGUUCCUGGCCCCUGAGCCCGGCGGGUAUCCCUGCAGGUGACACAGGGGCCCUGGGAUGCCGCCCAGGUGGCAGCGUGACCCUCCCCUCCUUGCUGCUCAGGAGAAAACUAGCCGUCACUUCUGCACGGGCGCCCCCAUCCCCCGGACUGGAUGUUCACCGCCCCCACUGCAGGGUCAGGUGAGCGGGUGGCCCAGGCUCUGAGUCCAGCCCAGGGGUGGACCAGGUGGGAGGGCAGUGGCCCCAACUGUCCCCAACCCCUCCUGUCUCCGUGCCAGGACGUGACAUGGUGGUGGCUGCAGUUUGACCAGGGCUCUGAUGAGGCCGUGCAGCUCCUGAAGAUCACAAAGGUACCAGGCCCGAGGACAGGAGUUUGGGGACAGGAGCUUGACGCCAGGAGAUGCGCAGACCCCGCCGCUCCUGAGGUCUCACUGGGCUUGUGGUUGUCACCCUCCGGUUAUGACAACCCCGAUGACAACCCGUUCACCUUCUCCAGUGACAUCGCCCUGCUGAAGCUGGUCACGCCUGCCGCUUCGCACAGAGUGUCUGCCGUGUGGCUGCCCAGCGAGGACCAGGACUUCCCAUGGGGAGCUGUGUGCUACCACGGCCUGGGCAAGACCAGUCACACUGUGAGACCCUGGUGGCCACCAGAGUGGCCCGUAUGCCAGAAGAACAGAACCUGGACCCUGGUGGGCAUCACGUCCUGGGGCAGUGACACUUGCUCCACCUCCUCUCUCGUCAGGUACACCCGCAUCACUGCCUUCCUGCCUGGGUGCAGCAGAUCCUGGGGGCCAGCUGACCCCACAGACCCACCCUGCGCCCCUGGGCCUGAUCCCCGCAAAGCCUCAGUAAACCCAAGGUGCACGUCAUCUGUUUAGGGCCUCUUAAGGCUUCACCGUGCUCCUGAACUUGGCCUUCACCGGGCUCACCUGCCUCAGGCCAGUGUGGGUCACUGGGGUGCACUCAGCAUGGGCAGCAAGGACUCAGGCAGAAGUGGGCACAAGAAGGAAUGGUGGGCACUUGGUAAGGCCUAGGAUGAUCUGACCCCCACAUUCCACGUUCCCAUCCUGGGGGCAGCAGUCACCCCACCCGUCAUUCCACUGGAGAGCCCUGCUGCAGAGCACAGGCACGGCUGCGGCCCCUCAGAGCCCAAGGCCGUGAGAUACGGGUGAUGGCAAGCACGCUGGGUGGGCGCUUGGGAGGCAGUGGGCCGCACAGAGGCUCUCCCGGUUCCCUGCACCCUUUUGGCAGCAGCUUGUGAGCGGGAGGCCGGGCUCCCAGGGAGGGGAACAGGGCCAGAGGUACAAGCCUGAGACAUGGUGGGGCCCCAGCUCCCCCUGGUGGCCUCCCCUCACACCUGCCAACUACCUGUACACCCCUCUGGGCACCUUCUCCAGCUCCGUCCUUCGGCUGUGCCAGAUGUAAGCAGACAGCCCUGGUCCCCUCUCGUCCUGGUUCUGUCCAUCCACUCAGCCACGCACCCAGAAGCCGAGGCAGGGAGGCCACCUGGCUCCUUCACUUUCCAAGUCCGUGCCCAACUCGGCUGGUCCUGCCACGUCUGUCCCCAUAACCUGUCCUCCCCACGCUCUGGCUGCCACAUACCCUGGAGUGGGCAGCCAAGCAUUUGCAUCCCCAAGUGCCCAGGUCCACUCCUGCCACAGACUCAGGCCGUGGGAGCAAGGACCAUGGGCACCGGACAGCCCAGAAUCCUGUCCCAGGACCCUGAGCUCAGAGGGGACAGACACGCCCUGGGGUGCACAGCCGGUCAGAGGAGCUAGCUGUCCAUGGUAGAGCCCCCAGCCCAGGUGCCCUGGGUGUCAGGCCCCUCUACGAAGCCACCUGAGAGUGACUGCUGGCCUGGGUGUAUGAGCGUCCUCCCGGCAAGGGCCCUAGAUGUUGGGUGCCAGAGGCUUGGAAGUGCGGCUGCCUGUCCCUGCACCCCAAGCUGCAAGGUCUCUGCCAUCUACCCUGUGAUGGGCACAGGACUGAUGCUGUCCCUGGCUCCUGGCCCUGGAGGCUCCUGGCCCUCUACAGGGGAGACGGAGAUCCUCGGCAUGUGGGGGGCACUCUGGGCUGUCGGAAGCUGGGGGUGCUGCCCAAGUGGGAGCUGUGCUCCUCCCUGCCCCUCCAGCCUCUGCCUCCACCUCUGGGGUCCCUUGCUGGUGAGGACUAGGAUCACCCCAGCCCACUGUGGGUCAGGUGAGGUGCCCUGGGGGUCAGCGCGGGAGCCCCACCCUAACUGCUGCGGCCAGAAAGUGUCUGAGAAACUGCAUGCGGGGCAGAGCCGCCUCUGAGCCCCAGCCACAGGCAGAGCGGCAGCGCAGAGACCCCCACCCCACUCCACCUCCUCAGACCCUCAGGCCACCCAGACUGCAGCUGGGGGAACCUGGGCAGCCCUGUGCCCUCACUGCAGAUGCAGAAACUGAGGCCAAGUGAGAGUGGGCGGCCAAGCUGGGCUCACUCACCCGGCAGGCUGCCCAGACACCUGUGAGGCGCCAGCCGUGAGCCAGAGCGCAGGGCAAGGGGCGGGAGCAUUGACCUCUGCUGAGGAAGCCACUGCAGGGUGCCAGCCCCACAAGGAGACGUGUGCAGUGUCCAGCGAGCUCCUCGGUCCCCCUUGCCCUUGAGCAGCUCCAUGGCAUCCUCCUGCUCUCAUCUGAAUCCAGCCCCUGCACCCAGCCACAGCUGCUUCUGGUUAUAAAGCAAGGCAGCACAGCUCAGUGGCAGAGCAGAGCCUAACACGGGCGUAGGCCCGGGUUCAUCCCCAGGGGCACAGGCAAAAAUGAAGUUUUGCACACUGUUGAGAAACAUGAAAAUAUAAAAACCGAACACCAAGUAUGGUGGCGCCUGUCUGUGAUCCCAGCACUCUGAGAGGCUGACGCAGGAGGACUGCAAAUUCAAGCCCAGCCUGUACAGCCUGGUGACUCAGUAAGAUCCUCUUGAGAGAAAAAAUUUCAAAAGGGCUGGGGAUGCAGCUCAGUGUGAAGGUGGUGUUGAUCCCCAGGGCCAUGAAGAAAAAUACUGAACACCACUGCGUGUCACCUGCAGUUUCGUCUGGUCCCUCUUCUGGUCCUUUUUCUGCUACCAAGCCCCCUACACUUGAAUUCUCUACUCAGAGGUCUGCCCAGCCCCCACCCUGGUCCUGCCUGGGUUUCGACCACCUGCAGUGGACCAGCCAGCUGUUCACCUGGACACCUCGUGUAAGGCUGGCCACUGCCUGCCACCUUUCAGUCCGUCCCUAUGCCCACACGCCUGGCCCGCUAGGAACCACAGUGGGCUGGGCCAACACCUGGUCCCUACUGAGUGUCCCUACACGGGCUCUUUCAGGGUACAAGAUACUUUGGUUUUUACUCAAAAUCCCAAGCACAUGUGAGAACCGCAAGUCAUACAUUCUUGGAAUUAAAAAUCCACCAAACACAAAGAAAGACCAGAGCUCUCCCUGAAGAGAGCUCUAGGCAGAGCGGGGAGCCCCAG